This 239-nucleotide ribosomal RNA is filed under the name uncultured bacterium. RNAcentral's name for it is "partial 16S ribosomal RNA". It matches the Rfam family "Bacterial small subunit ribosomal RNA", at positions 100 to 334 of the family's 1533-position model. The record is from RNAcentral.
CCGGCACGGGUGAGUAACACGUAUCCAACCUGCCGUCUACUCUUGGGCAGCCUUCUGAAAGGAAGAUUAAUCCAGGAUGGCAUCAUGAGUUCACAUGUCCGCAUGAUUAAAGGUAUUUUCCGGUAGACGAUGGGGAUGCGUUCCAUUAGAUAGUAGGCGGGGUAACGGCCCACCUAGUCAACGAUGGAUAGGGGUUCUGAGAGGAAGGUCCCCCACAUUGGAACUGAGACACGGUCCAA